Molecule: long non-coding RNA, 115 nt
Organism: Mustela erminea (ermine)
Lineage: Eukaryota; Metazoa; Chordata; Mammalia; Carnivora; Mustelidae
Exons: 3
Source: RefSeq, a predicted model, not a curated record
UAAAACACCUAAAAACUAGUCAGGCUGAAAUAAAAAUUGCUAUAACUGAGAUGCAAAACAGACUGGAUGUGAUGACCGUAAGGAUGGAAGAAGUAGAAGAAUGAAUAAGUAAUAA